AUGAACGCUAGCGAUAGGCCUAACACAUGCAAGUCGAGGGGCAUCACGUCUUCGGAUGGUGGCGACCGGCGCACGGGUGAGUAACACGUAUGCAACCUACCCAUAACACUGGGAUAGCCCGUUGAAAGACGGAUUAAUACCGGAUAAUACAGGGGCACCGCCUGGUGCUAUUUGUUAAAGAUUUAUUGGUUAUGGAUGGGCAUGCGCUGGAUUAGCUAGUUGGUAAGGUAACGGCUUACCAAGGCAACGAUCCAUAGGGGAACUGAGAGGUUUAUCCCCCACACUGGUACUGAGACACGGACCAGACUCCUACGGGAGGCAGCAGUGGGGAAUAUUGGUCAAUGGACGAGAGUCUGAACCAGCCAAAUCGCGUGAAGGAAGACGGUAUUAUGUAUUGUAAACUUCUUUUAUAGGGGAAUAAAGUGAGGGACGUGUCCCUUUUUGUAUGUACCCUAUGAAUAAGCAUCGGCUAACUCCGUGCCAGCAGCCGCGGUAAUACGGAGGAUGCGAGCGUUAUCCGGAUUUAUUGGGUUUAAAGGGUGCGUAGGUGGACCGGUCAGUCAGUGGUGAAAUCUCGGGGCUUAACUCCGAAACUGCCAUUGAAACUUCCGGGUCUUGAGUGUGAACGAGGUAGGCGGAAUUCGUAGUGUAGCGUGAAAUGCAUAGAUAUACGAGACUCCGAUA
Molecule: ribosomal RNA, 684 nt
Filed under: uncultured bacterium
Lineage: Bacteria
Description: bacterial SSU rRNA
Rfam family: Bacterial small subunit ribosomal RNA
Source: RNAcentral